GUGGGGAAUCUUAGACAAUGGGGGAAACCCUGAUCUAGCCAUGCCGCGUGAGCGAUGAAGGCCUUAGGGUUGUAAAGCUCUUUCAGCUGGGAAGAUAAUGACGGUACCAGCAGAAGAAGCCCCGGCUAACUCCGUGCCAGCAGCCGCGGUAAUACGGAGGGGGCUAGCGUUGUUCGGAAUUACUGGGCGUAAAGCGCACGUAGGCGGAUCAGAAAGUCAGAGGUGAAAUCCCAGGGCUCAACCUUGGAACUGCCUUUGAAACUCCUGGUCUUGAGGUCGAGAGAGGUGAGUGGAAUUCCGAGUGUAGAGGUGAAAUUCGUAGAUAUUCGGAGGAACACCAGUGGCGAAGGCGGCUCACUGGCUCGAUACUGACGCUGAGGUGCGAAAGCGUGGGUAGCAAACAGGAUUAGAAACCCUGGUAGUCC
RNAcentral lists this ribosomal RNA (425 nucleotides) under uncultured bacterium. Its description in RNAcentral is "partial 16S ribosomal RNA". It matches the Rfam family "Bacterial small subunit ribosomal RNA", at positions 354 to 796 of the family's 1533-position model. The record is from RNAcentral.